RNAcentral lists this transfer RNA (84 nucleotides) under Sulfurihydrogenibium sp. RNAcentral's name for it is "tRNA-Tyr". It matches the Rfam family "tRNA". Rfam says of the family: Transfer RNA (tRNA) molecules are approximately 80 nucleotides in length. The record is from RNAcentral. Lineage: Bacteria; Pseudomonadati; Aquificota; Aquificia; Aquificales; Hydrogenothermaceae.
GUAGGGGUGGCAGAGUGGUUGAAUGCACCUGACUGUAAAUCAGGCUCUUAGGACACGUAGGUUCAAAUCCUACCCCUUACACCA